Molecule: long non-coding RNA, 3861 nt
Filed under: Musa acuminata (dwarf banana)
Lineage: Eukaryota; Viridiplantae; Streptophyta; Magnoliopsida; Zingiberales; Musaceae
Description: long non-coding RNA (MACU_LNC003008)
Source: RNAcentral
CCACACAUAUGUCCCAGAAUUGCAAACCAAGAAAAAGGAAUCAGAAAAACAUCUCUAUCUCAGCAACAUGUACUUGUCAUGACGAGAUUCAACAGAAUUGAAUUGUAAAAACAAGGAAUUAAAGAAUGAAAGAGUGAAGAGCUACUGCACACCAAACAACAAAGAAGGCAACCAUGAUUCAUCAACACUCCUGCUAAAAUACAAUGCCAACAACUCCUGAAGGAUGGAAUCAUAGAAAACAAAACUUUACAUCAAACUCCAAACUGACUGAAAGUCCAUUAAUGAAUACAUCGGCAAAUCUCUUACAACUCAUGAACAAGUGAGCCCCAAGUCACCAAAAUGAAAAGAAGUAUAGAGUAAGUCCGGAGUCUACUAAGUUGCAUUUGGAUAUAUAUAUAUAUAUAUAUAUAUACACACACACACACACACACACACACACAAAUUAGAGGACUGACAUCUUCAAUUAUCUCAAGCCAAUAGACCUCUAUUUUAAGCUUUAUAUUGAUCUAGGACAAGGAGAAUGGAAUUUCUAGGAGAAAAUGGUCUAUAAGAUACAGAUUUGAAAGAAAAGGCAUUUGCUGAAAUUUUAACUUCAGACAAAAAUGUUCUCAUAAAAAAUGACAUAUAGAAAAUACAGAAAUACAUGAUUUAGGCCUAACCAUGAAUUCUUGGGCUCAAAACAGAACAAGGGAACUUGAUGCUACAAGAAUCUCAGAACAACAGUGAAGAAUUAAAAAAAAAAGAAAACCAAAAAAUUAAUCUAUGAAAGAAUACAAUUAGACUUGAUCAGAAAUUCAGAAAUUAUAAAGUGGGCUCUACAGAUAACUUCAAUCAUGUUGAACUUCACUCCUGCAUCAGCGGUCAUAUCUAGCCACAAUACAUCGGAAUCCCAGAACACCAGCGAAUAAUUCAAAUAAAGAUCACCAAAAUUUUGAAUUUAUGAAAGAAGACAACUCAACUCGAUCCAAAAUUAUUAUCUGGACUUCAAAGUUAACUCCAAUCCAUGUUGAACUUGAUAUAUUCCUGCAUCAGUGAUCAUAUCUAGCCACUAUACACUAUAAUCCCAGAACAACAACAGUGAAGAAUUUGAUUAAAGAACACAAAAAAUCUGAAUUUAUGAAAGAUUACAAUUCUACUAAAUCUAAAAUUAUUAUCUGGACUCCACAGAUAACUCCAAUCCAUGUUCAACUUGAUAUACUCCUCUAUCAGUGGUCAUUUCUAGCUACAACACAGUACUCCUCUAUCAGUGGUCAUUUCUAGCUACAACACAGUCAAAUCUGGGAAUAGGGUAAUCCUAAUUUAUUGCACUUAACAACUGAUAAUGUAUAAAUAAAAAUCUUUUUCAAUAUUAUACUUAGAAAAGGAGAAGAAAAUGCCUACAAGGAAGUAUGCAUCCACAACCAAUCAGGAAAGAAGUAUAGCUAAUCGGACUGAUCUAAUCAACAUGUCUUCUUACCAUGUGGAUUUUGUGCUGCUAUAUCAUCCCUACUAGUAAUUGAUGAUGCACUAUAGAUCUGAAUGUUGGACAGUUAAGAAAUAACAUUUACAAAAAAAAAAAGUUUGUCGUUUAGAUGAGAAUAUUGAGAUUGAUACAUGGAGUUACUAGGAAAGAUAUAAAAAGUCAUUUGUAAAUAAAUUAGGGCAUAGCUUCAAUAUAAGAUAAGAUGAGAGAGAAUCAUUUAGGAUGAUAUGAACAUGUGCAGAGGAGACGUAUAUAUAUUGUAGAUAUAAGAGAUGAAGCAAUUGCUAUUAGCGAUAUGAUGGGUGAUGGAAAAAGACUAAUAAGAUAUUACUAGACACUAUAAAUAAUGAUUUAAAUACUAACAAGUUAACUAAGGAUGUGAUUUUUUACGAAGUUCAAUAGUAGCAAAAGAUCCAUAUAUUACUCCUGCUAAAUGAAAUGAGAUGUACAAGGAUACAAAUGGAAUUUGUAACAGUGUGUGUGCGUGCAUGUUUCUAUGCAUGUGUUUGCAAGUGAGAGAGGAAAAGAAAGAGAGAAGGGGGAGCAUUUAGAGGAAGCAUAAGUUUAUGUAGGAAAGUGAUGACAGGAGAAAAGAAAGUGCUAAACAGAUUUGACUCCUUCAAAAACCACUCGAACCUCCUUGGCACCACUAAUUGUCCAUUGAGUUCCAUAUAUAAUAUGCAGGUAAGUGGAAGAUAUGACCCAUCCAAUGUAAAUUGGAUAAUUAAUCCUUUGAGAUCCUAAAUUCCAUCUCUUCUUUGUUUCUUUUUUUGUAUCAUAAUCAAUAAGUAUGAAACUCAUUAUCAAUAACAAUAGGGAUACUAGGUAGUAAAGCUUUCAACAGGAUAGACAUUAGCCCUUGCAAACAGGUAGUCAUCAGGCAAAAAGAUUUAUAAAGAAGUUGAACAUCAUUGCAUCUUCAAAUAUACUUGAAUUGAAUAUAUUAUAAUAAAAAGUAUCAAGUUGUUUAUCUCAUAUCCACUAUAUGACUGGAUAUUGCUGCAAGUCCCAUAGAAGCCAAAAUGGUAAGACUAUCAAUGAAAAUAAGCAUGGAAAAUUGCAAAUGGAGAGAUCAUCACCGAGAAACUUUUUUACUUCAGCUCUUACAAGAGAAACAUUGCCAUAUAGUCCUAAACUUCAACACCACCAAAGGUACAUAAGUAACCUUCUAGGAAUUAGAACCGAAAAUUCAUUAUUUCAUAUAUUAGUGUAACUAUAAGAUAUUGUGUCAUCCAAUGCACCAAAAAAUUAGCAAUUCCAUGAUCAUAAAUUCCAAGAAGUAAACUCAAUGGGACAGAUAGUUGUCUAAUAGUCAAGGUGAUCAUUAAGUCUCUUAUACAAUAGCUCAAAGGAGCACUUAAAAUUGUUCUCUCUCUUGAGACUCAACCAGUCUAGCUUAUUGUUAUGCAGGGAGCCUAGGCAAGUACAAGUGCCAGAGCAACCACCACCCAUAGAAAUAGAACAUGAAACAGUACAAUGACUUAAUGGGGUCAGAAAUGUGAACCCAACAGAACAGGAAAGCCUCAUAGUUGAACUUGAUGGCAGUCUUUUCUGCUCUCUUGUUAAGUCUAACUGAAUGCCUUUUUAGGGCCUUGAUGAUUCACACACCCUAGGAUGCCUGGAGAAGGAAAUAGGGGAAAUAUUCAAUUACUUCUUAAGGUCGUGGGCUCCUGAUGCUUGAAACAGGACUUCCAAGUCCUUGCUGUCAAAGAACUCAAGCAUGAGUGGCAGUCACGAUGAAGGUUGCAAAUGCAGCUGACGUGGCAUGUGGAAGGCACGACUUGUGAAAGUGAGUGAGACAGCAUACAGUCAAGGGAGAUGUGGUAAUUAAUGGACAUGCACAUAACUUGUAUGUCUGAUUUGCAAAGAGGAUGGGGGAAGGGAAGUUGAAGCUCCAUAAUAGAAACUCAAAUGUAGGAAAGGGUCCAGUGUAGUCAAUAUCUGAUUGUUAAGAACAAUGGCUCACCAUUGUUAUACUGUAGAUACCUAGAGAUAAUUCCCUCCCAGCUUCUUCUUUCAUUUUAUCAAGCCGCCCUUUAGCGACAAUGAUGACCAUUCCUUGGUAGCUGAUAAUAACAAUCCAAUUUGAAAUCUAAUUGAAAAGAAGUACUGUUUUCCAUAAAAGAUUAACACAAACUAGUACCUAAGAAUGCAUUCUCAAUUCCAUCAAUGUAUAAACUGUUUUCCAAAAGGACAAACACAAACUAGUAUCUAAGAAUGUAUUCUCAAUUCCAUAAAUGUAUAAAGCAGUAUCCUAAAUGCUCUUCACAAAAGCAGUUUUAAACACACUUUUCAUCUCUUUUGAAGAGAAAAUCCUUGGUGAGAUACAAUGUUCAUGCCAUGGUUGCAUUAGUAACUUCCAUAAAUGCAAUACAAUUGCUACAACAAGGCAAAUAAAC